GUGCCAGCCGCCGCGGUAACACGGGGGGAGCAAGCGUUGUUCGGAAUCACUGGGCGUAAAGGGCGUCUAGGCGGUCAGGUAAGUGAGACGUGAAAUGCCUCGGCUCACCCGAGGAGCUGCGUCUCAUACUGCUUGGCUUGAGUAUGGGAGAGGAUGUGGGAAUUCCUGGUGUAGCGGUGAAAUGCGUAGAUAUCAGGAGGAACACCGGUGGCGAAGGCGCACAUCUGGCCCAAUACUGACGCUGAAGCGCGAAAGCUAGGGGAGCAAACGGGAUUAGAUACCCCCGUAGUCC
RNAcentral lists this ribosomal RNA (292 nucleotides) under uncultured bacterium. Its description in RNAcentral is "partial 16S ribosomal RNA". It matches the Rfam family "Bacterial small subunit ribosomal RNA", at positions 505 to 796 of the family's 1533-position model. The record is from RNAcentral.